CGGGGAUUGGCGCAGUUGGUAGCGCGCACGCUUCGGGUGCGUGAGGCCGUGGGUUCGAGUCCCACAUCCCCGA
Molecule: non-coding RNA, 73 nt
Organism: Candidatus Komeilibacteria bacterium
Lineage: Bacteria; Candidatus Komeiliibacteriota
Source: Rfam